UUUUUUCACUCAUAUUAUUCCAUUAUUCCAACCACCUGCAGUUCAAAUUUGACUUAAAUCAAAAAAUUACUCUAAAUGAAAUUAAUUGAUUAAAUAUAGCAAACAGGUCAAAAAAUAGUCCAUCUUCUACCAUGCAGUGCCAAAUGCCAUACAUGUGGAGUGUAAAAAGUUUGGAGGGUGGAGGAGGGGAAAAAAAAUUAUGUUUGCCGAGUGUAUGAAAAGACACUCGGCAAACCAUAUAGUUUGCCGAGUGUAC
RNAcentral lists this long non-coding RNA (256 nucleotides) under Setaria italica (foxtail millet). RNAcentral describes it as "long non-coding RNA (SITA_LNC005624)". Lineage: Eukaryota; Viridiplantae; Streptophyta; Magnoliopsida; Poales; Poaceae. The record is from RNAcentral.